RNAcentral lists this ribosomal RNA (279 nucleotides) under uncultured bacterium. RNAcentral's name for it is "partial 16S ribosomal RNA". It matches the Rfam family "Bacterial small subunit ribosomal RNA", at positions 506 to 784 of the family's 1533-position model. The record is from RNAcentral.
UGCCAGCCGCCGCGGUAAUACGGAGGGUGCAAGCGUUGUUCGGAAUCACUGGGCGUAAAGCGCGUGUAGGCGGUUUUUUAAGUCGGAUGUGAAAUCCCUCGGCUCAACCGAGGACGUGCAUCCGAUACUGGAGAACUAGAGUACCGGAGGGGAUGGUGGAAUUCCUGGUGUAGAGGUGAAAUUCGUAGAUAUCAGGAGGAACAUCAGUGGCGAAGGCGACCAUCUGGAAGGUAACUGACGCUGAGACGCGAAAGCGUGGGGAGCAAACAGGAUUAGAUA